UAUUCUGCCCCACGGGGAAGGAUGAGAAGCUUCGACUAAGGUUCGACUCGAGCGAAGCGAGAGAACGUUGCCGCAGGCAACGGCCCGAAGGGCGAGGCGCUUUAGCGCCGAGUAAUCCUUCCCCCACCA
RNAcentral lists this small RNA (129 nucleotides) under Klebsiella pneumoniae subsp. ozaenae. RNAcentral describes it as "RtT sRNA". It matches the Rfam family "RtT RNA". Rfam says of the family: This family represents a bacterial cis-regulatory element known as RtT RNA. The exact function of RtT is unknown although it is thought that it may be involved in changing the cellular response in relation to amino acid starvation. Lineage: Bacteria; Pseudomonadati; Pseudomonadota; Gammaproteobacteria; Enterobacterales; Enterobacteriaceae. The record is from RNAcentral.